Molecule: ribosomal RNA, 957 nt
Filed under: Bacillus pumilus
Lineage: Bacteria; Bacillati; Bacillota; Bacilli; Caryophanales; Bacillaceae
Description: bacterial SSU rRNA
Rfam family: Bacterial small subunit ribosomal RNA
Source: RNAcentral
AUGCAGUCGAGCGGMAGAAGGGAGCUUGCUCCCGGAUGUUAGCGGCGGACGGGUGAGUAACACGUGGGUAACCUGCCUGUAAGACUGGGAUAACUCCGGGAAACCGGAGCUAAUACCGGAUAGUUCCUUGAACCGCAUGGUUCAAGGAUGAAAGACGGUUUCGGCUGUCACUUAAGAUGGACCCGCGGCGCAUUAGCUAGUUGGUGGGGUAAUGGCUCACCAAGGCGACGAUGCGUAGCCGACCUGAGAGGGUGAUCGGCCACACUGGGACUGAGACACGGCCCAGACUCCUACGGGAGGCAGCAGUAGGGAAUCUUCCGCAAUGGACGAAAGUCUGACGGAGCAACGCCGCGUGAGUGAUGAAGGUUUUCGGAUCGUAAAGCUCUGUUGUUAGGGAAGAACAAGUGCGAGAGUAACUGCUCGCACCUUGACGGUACCUAACCAGAAAGCCACGGCUAACUACGUGCCAGCAGCCGCGGUAAUACGUAGGUGGCAAGCGUUGUCCGGAAUUAUUGGGCGUAAAGGGCUCGCAGGCGGUUUCUUAAGUCUGAUGUGAAAGCCCCCGGCUCAACCGGGGAGGGUCAUUGGAAACUGGGGAAACUUGAGUGCAGAAGAGGAGAGUGGAAUUCCACGUGUAGCGGUGAAAUGCGUAGAGAUGUGGAGGAACACCAGUGGCGAAGGCGACUCUCUGGUCUGUAACUGACGCUGAGGAGCGAAAGUGGGGAGCGAACAGGAUUAGAUACCCUGUAGUCCACGCCGUAAACGAUGAGUGCUAAGUGUUAGGGGGUUUCCCGCCCCUUAGUGCUGCAGCUAACGCAUUAAGCACUCCGCCUGGGGAGUACGGUCGCAAGACUGAACUCAAAGGAAUUGACGGGGGGCCCCGCACAGCGUGAGCAUGUGAUUAAUUCGAGCACGCGAAGAACCUUACCAGUCUGGACAUCUCUGACUAUCCUUAGA